RNAcentral lists this ribosomal RNA (453 nucleotides) under uncultured bacterium. Its description in RNAcentral is "bacterial SSU rRNA". It matches the Rfam family "Bacterial small subunit ribosomal RNA", at positions 34 to 473 of the family's 1533-position model. The record is from RNAcentral.
GAAUUCACUAGUGAUUCAGGCCUAACACAUGCAAGUCGAACGGCAGCACGGGUGCUUGCACCUGGUGGCGAGUGGCGAACGGGUGAGUAAUAUAUCGGAACGUACCUUAUUGUGGGGGAUAACGCAGCGAAAGCUGUGCUAAUACCGCAUAAUCCCUAAGGGGGAAAGCGGGGGACCGUAAGGCCUCGCGCAAUUAGAGCGGCCGAUACCUGAUUAGCUAGUUGGUGAGGUAAAGGCUCACCAAGGCAACGAUCAGUAGCUGGUCUGAGAGGACGAUCAGCCACACUGGGACUGAGACACGGCCCAGACUCCUACGGGAGGCAGCAGUGGGGAAUUUUGGACAAUGGGGGCAACCCUGAUCCAGCAAUGCCGCGUGAGUGAAGAAGGCCUUCGGGUUGUAAAGCUACUUGUGUCAGGGAAGAAACAGCAGCUCUAACACAGUUUGCGAAUGAC